AUUGAACGCUGGCGGCAGGCCUAACACAUGCAAGUCGAGCGGUAGAGAGAAGCUUGCUUCUCUUGAGAGCGGCGGACGGGUGAGUAAUGCCUAGGAAUCUGCCUGGUAGUGGGGGAUAACGUUCGGAAACGGACGCUAAUACCGCAUACGUCCUACGGGAGAAAGCAGGGGACCUUCGGGCCUUGCGCUAUCAGAUGAGCCUAGGUCGGAUUAGCUAGUUGGUGGGGUAAUGGCUCACCAAGGCGACGAUCCGUAACUGGUCUGAGAGGAUGAUCAGUCACACUGGAACUGAGACACGGUCCAGACUCCUACGGGAGGCAGCAGUGGGGAAUAUUGGACAAUGGGCGAAAGCCUGAUCCAGCCAUGCCGCGUGUGUGAAGAAGGUCUUCGGAUUGUAAAGCACUUUAAGUUGGGAGGAAGGGCAGUAAAUUAAUACUUUGCUGUUUUGACGUUACCGACAGAAUAAGCACCGGCUAACUCUGUGCCAGCAGCCGCGGUAAUACAGAGGGUGCAAGCGUUAAUCGGAAUUACUGGGCGUAAAGCGCGCGUAGGUGGUUCGUUAAGUUGGAUGUGAAAUCCCCCGGGGCUCAACUUGGGAAACUGCAUUCAAACUGACAAGCUAAACUAUGGUAAAGGGCGGGGGAAUAUCCUGCUUGCCAGUCAAUUGGGACUA
Molecule: ribosomal RNA, 673 nt
Filed under: uncultured Pseudomonas sp.
Lineage: Bacteria; Pseudomonadati; Pseudomonadota; Gammaproteobacteria; Pseudomonadales; Pseudomonadaceae
Description: bacterial SSU rRNA
Rfam family: Bacterial small subunit ribosomal RNA
Source: RNAcentral